This 36-nucleotide ribosomal RNA is filed under the name Flammulina populicola. RNAcentral describes it as "partial large subunit ribosomal RNA". The record is from RNAcentral. Lineage: Eukaryota; Fungi; Basidiomycota; Agaricomycetes; Agaricales; Physalacriaceae.
AUUUGACCUCCAUUCAGGUAGGACUACCCGUGAACU